CGGACGGGUGAGUAAUGUCUGGGAAACUGCCUGAUGGAGGGGGAUAACUACUGGAAACGGUAGCUAAUACCGCAUAACGUCGCAAGACCAAAGAGGGGGACCUUUGGGCCUCUUGCCAUCGGAUGUGCCCAGAUGGGAUUAGCUAGUAGGUGGGGUAAUGGCUCACCUAGGCGACGAUCCCUAGCUGGUCUGAGAGGAUGACCAGCCACACUGGAACUGAGACACGGUCCAG
Molecule: ribosomal RNA, 232 nt
Filed under: uncultured bacterium
Lineage: Bacteria
Description: partial 16S ribosomal RNA
Rfam family: Bacterial small subunit ribosomal RNA
Source: RNAcentral